Molecule: ribosomal RNA, 460 nt
Filed under: uncultured bacterium
Lineage: Bacteria
Description: partial 16S ribosomal RNA
Rfam family: Bacterial small subunit ribosomal RNA
Source: RNAcentral
CCUACGGGAGGCAGCAGUGAGGAAUAUUGGUCAAUGGACGAGAGUCUGAACCAGCCAAGUAGCGUGAAGGAUGACUGCCCUAUGGGUUGUAAACUUCUUUUAUAAAGGAAUAAAACGAGGCACGUGUGCCUUUUUGCAUGUACUUUAUGAAUAAGGAUCGGCUAACUCCGUGCCAGCAGCCGCGGUAAUACGGAGGAUCCGAGCGUUAUCCGGAUGUAUUGGGUUUAAAGGGAGCGUAGAUGGGUUGUUAAGUCAGUUGUGAAAGUUUUCGGCUCAACCGUAAAAUUGCAAUUGAUACUGGCAGUCUUGAGUACAGUUGAGGUAGGCGGAAUUCGUGGUGUAGCGGUGAAAUGCUUAGAUAUCACGAAGAACCCCGAUUGCGAAGGCAGCUUACUAAACUGUGACUGACAUUGAUGCUCGAAAGUGUGGGUAUCAAACAGGAUUAGAUACCCUUGUAGUC